CCUACGGGAGGCAGCAGUGAGGAAUAUUGGUCAAUGGACGCAAGUCUGAAGCAGCCAUGCCGCGUGCGGGAAGACGGCUCUAUGUAUUGUAAACUUCUUUUGUACGGUAGUAAACACAGAUACGUGUAUCAGUAUGAACUUGUCUUCCACGUCAGGAUCGGCUAACUACGACCCAGCAGCCACGGUAAUACGGAGGAUGCAGGCGUUAUCCGGAUUUACUAGGUUUAAAGGGUGCGUAGGCGGUCGGGUAAGUUAGAAGUGAAAUCCCGAGGCUAAACUUCGGAAUUGCAUCGGAUACUGUUCGGCUAGAGAGUAGUUGAGGUAGGCGGAAUGUAUGGUGUAGCGGUGAAAUGCGUAGAGAUCAUACAGAACACCGAUUGCGAAGGCAGCUUACCAAGCUACUUCUGACGUUGAGGCACGAAAGCGUGGGGAGCAAACAGGAGUAGAUACCCGUGUAGUC
This 460-nucleotide ribosomal RNA is filed under the name uncultured bacterium. RNAcentral describes it as "partial 16S ribosomal RNA". It matches the Rfam family "Bacterial small subunit ribosomal RNA", at positions 338 to 795 of the family's 1533-position model. The record is from RNAcentral.